UGCUGAGGCCCAGGUUCAAUUCCUGGUCAGGGAACAAAGAUCCCGCAAGCCACACAGCCAAGAAAAAAAAGAAGAAUGCAGCAUUUACUGGCCAGUCAUCUAAGACUGGUGGUUUGCUACAGUUAACCAAUGAUACAAUGCUGGUUUAUCCUAAUUAUUAUCUAUGAAUUAUUUUUGCCUUUCUGAGUUAGGAAACUUCUUGCAUAUCAGUUGUACAUAUUUAAAUGUUUCUGUUUUUUCACCCACCCUGAUGUUUUAAAAUUUCAGAGCCUAAGACUAUCAUAUGGUUUUGAGCCCACAGAAGAACCCUGGGUUUGCAUAGGGAUGAGUCAUUUAGUUGACAUAUACACAUUUACAUAGUUUUUAAUUGACUUGCAUGUUCAUCCUUUGCAAAAAGUACAUAAUUUUGUAUAUUUCAGAAUUGUCAAAGACUAAUUCUGCUGUUUGGUAAGUGUGUGGAAACUGCAGAGAUAUAGUUUAAACUUCUUUUAAAAGAUCAAAUUAUUUCUAAAACAAUGCUGUUUUCCUUAUUUAUGAAUUAGUAGAUACGGAAACAAGGACAAAAUUAUGAGUCACUCUCAAAAUCUCUUCAAUGCACGGCUACAUAAACUAAUAACAUUCAUAAUAGGAAUAUUUUAGCUAAUGAGAAAUCUUGACCAUAAAUUUUCAAAAUCUUACAGAGUUUUAUAACAACAGUAACAGCAAGGAUUUUUUCAAGUCAUGUUUUUGUCUCCAUCUCUAUCCCAAAGGAUGUUGAAAGAACAAAAUGUCUUGUGUGGUUUAAGCAGUGCCUUUGGAAUGUUUUCUGAAAGCAAACAGCACAUUUUUCCCCAUCGGUGACUGGAGCAGAGACCACAUGAACGUGAAUGUAGCCCCAGGUCAUUCUUUCAUUAGUGUGUGUGUGUCUCCAGUGACCCUCCUGCUGGGAACCCUAAUAGGAUUUCUUCCCCUUACACCUUUGUCUGCCCUGGCUUCUCACACUGUUCUAUGGUGUUUGGUUUAAUGAGGCAACUCCUGUGAUUAGGGGGGUGGGGUGUGGGGGGGAGCCUUUUUCCUUAAAUAGAUACAAGGAUAGCUGAGGGAAUUCAAAAUUAUGUUCUGUGUUUCUUACCAUUAUAUGUGACCCAGCAUUUGAUGACAGACCUGAGUAUGCUGAACCAGGAAGAUGACAGUAGUCACUUAAUCUCAGGUCUCAGCCAUGGCUGGGCAGGUUGCAUGUCACAGAAGAGGCUCCAUCUAGCCUUCAUAAUGUGGAAAGACAGAAGACUACCUGGGAGUGGAAAGAGAAAAAGAAACUGAGGUUCAGAGAGGGUAAAUACUUUGCUGUGGCUCACACAGCUUGGAUCUGAACCCAAGUCUGUGUCCAGAGCUCAUCUUCUCUCCAGUAUACACGCUUAUUCUCACUGCAUGGCUUUGAGUGGAAGGAGGACAUGGAGGAGUGACCAGGAAGCACCAGGUGAUGGUGAUGCAGCUGAUCUGGGGGCCAGCCUUUGAGAACCGCAACGCUAAGUGAACAGCCACACCACCUCUUGCCAAUUCAUAGUUCAAAACAUGAGCAACUUCUAACAAAUGUUUCCCAGGUUGCUCACCACAAAAAUCAAUUUCCAAAGUCUUUGGGUUGAAAUGUUUUUACACCAGGUUAAGCGUUAACAUUACAUGUUCAACCUUUCUCUUUACUGAAAAAAAAUAAACAAAAAAACACGGCUGUAAUCGUAGAAUCACCCUGCAGUUAGCUCUGGGUGAACAAAUGUCAAAGCCCUGCAAACAACUCUAAUGGAAUCUCUGAAGGGAGAAGAUGAGUGCCUGGCCUCUGAGACCGUCCUGAGAGGCAGAGGGCUGUUUGAGUGCAGAGCCAGACAAGGCACAUGCUGGGGGGAGUGGGCUGGUUUGGGAUGAUCCUGUAAUUGAUAGCGUAGGAGUUGUGUUCCUUGGAGGUUGGGAAAAGGGGAGCCUGCCAGCCACCAGCUACUCAUAUAUUUUAAUACUUAACAAAAAAAAACAGUCUUUAAGAUUACACAAGUCAUGCACAACUAUGUCACCUUUCUGAAGAAACCAGAGCAGUAAAGAUAAGGCCUCUCCAACACUGAUUCUUCUCUCCCUUUCCCCAGAACUAAUUUAUAUUGUCAAUUUGGCAUUUAUGUUGCCAGGCUCUCUUCUAUACAGUUUCUAUGGGAACAAUUGAUUACUGUUUCCUGUGAUGGUAUCAUACUCUCUUGUUUCACAACUUAUCCUUUUUUCACCCAUGGGUAUGUGCUAUGGAUUUUUCCAUGUCAGUACAUAUCUCCACCAGACUCUUCUUAAUUUUUGCAUAUUACUGCAUAACAGAACAAAUGAGGUUUAUUUAUAGACCAGCAUUGAAGUGGCUUCCUCUCCUUCCAUUUUUUGUUGUUGUUUUGUCUUGUUUUUCAAUGAUGACAAACAGUGCCCGAGGCACCAUUCUUUAUGUGCCUCCCUAUAGGCAGGUGUGGGUGUUCCUCUAAGGGACAGAUUGGGAAAGAGAACCACUGAGUCCCAGUAUUUGAAGGUUUUUUUAACCUUUUAACAGAUACUGCCAAACUGCCUCCCCCUCCCAGUAACAGGGUCACUGCUUUUCCCUUCAGCGGGCUGCUCAUGUCACCAGGUCUCACACAGUCCCAUGAAAGCAGCUCUCCUAGCUUCUGCCUGUCCUGGAGGGCUCAGACCCGAGUCUGUGGGACCAGGCUGAGGAUACAGAGCUGAGCAGACACACACCCCCUCACCUCCCCAACCCCGUUUUUCCCCUUCAACUCCAGCCACAUUUCAGGAUUAGGAAGCCCAGCUCAUCCAUUCAUCACGUGGAUAGCUGAAUCCCAUUUUUAGACUUUAGCUGAGACCUCUGGUGUACGUGACAGAUAAAGGUGUCCCAGGAAUUUCACUAUUGCUGAGCCUGCACUUCAGAAAGAAUCAUUUUCACUGGGCCUGAGAGAUAGCGCAGCGGUUCUCAUUCAUUCUCAGGACUUAGCCCUUGUGGCCCCGAAGACUUCCUGGCCUCCCUCCUCCAGGCAAGUCGAGAGCUCUUUUUGAUCUUCAGACAGAGGAUCUGUCUCCUGUCUGAUUCGGUUGCAGCCAUUUAUAGUGCUGCUGCGCCCAUCAGACUGGCUGAAUCUUGAGAACAGAUGAUUCUGCCUGCCUUUAAAUUCCCAGUUCACUGCCU
This is a long non-coding RNA of Aethalodelphis obliquidens (Pacific white-sided dolphin), 3172 nucleotides long. RefSeq lists it as uncharacterized. The record is from RefSeq and is a predicted model, not a curated record. Lineage: Eukaryota; Metazoa; Chordata; Mammalia; Artiodactyla; Delphinidae. The transcript has 3 exons.